RNAcentral lists this transfer RNA (70 nucleotides) under Camelus bactrianus (Bactrian camel). It matches the Rfam family "tRNA". From Rfam's summary of the family: Transfer RNA (tRNA) molecules are approximately 80 nucleotides in length. Their secondary structure includes four short double-helical elements and three loops (D, anti-codon, and T loops). RNAcentral also lists the same sequence under 2 other names. Lineage: Eukaryota; Metazoa; Chordata; Mammalia; Artiodactyla; Camelidae. The record is from Rfam by way of RNAcentral.
GAGGGUAGCUCAGUGGUAGAGUGUGUGCUUAAUAUGCACGAGGUCCUGGGUUCAAUCCCCAGGACCCUCA